This 465-nucleotide ribosomal RNA is filed under the name Vreelandella stevensii. Its description in RNAcentral is "partial 16S ribosomal RNA". It matches the Rfam family "Bacterial small subunit ribosomal RNA", at positions 338 to 795 of the family's 1533-position model. The record is from RNAcentral. Lineage: Bacteria; Pseudomonadati; Pseudomonadota; Gammaproteobacteria; Oceanospirillales; Halomonadaceae.
CCUACGGGUGGCAGCAGUGGGGAAUAUUGGACAAUGGGGGGAACCCUGAUCCAGCCAUGCCGCGUGUGUGAAGAAGGCCCUCGGGUUGUAAAGCACUUUCAGUGAGGAAGAACGCCUGGUGGUUAAUACCCAUCAGGAAAGACAUCACUCACAGAAGAAGCACCGGCUAACUCCGUGCCAGCAGCCGCGGUAAUACGGAGGGUGCGAGCGUUAAUCGGAAUUACUGGGCGUAAAGCGCGCGUAGGUGGCUUGAUAAGCCGGUUGUGAAAGCCCCGGGCUCAACCUGGGAACGGCAUCCGGAACUGUCAAGCUAGAGUGCAGGAGAGGAAGGUAGAAUCCCCGGUGUAGCGGUGAAAUGCGUAGAGAUCGGGAGGAAUCCCAGUGGCGAAGGCGGCCUUCUGGACUGACACUGACACUGAGGUGCGAAAGCGUGGGUAGCAAACAGGAUUAGAUACCCCUGUAGUC